UACGUAGGUCCCGAGCGUUGCGCGAAUUCACUGGGCGUAAAGCGUCCGCAGCCGGAUGGGUAAGCGGUUCGUCAAAGCCCACCGCUCAACGGUGGAAAGGCGUACCGAACUGCCCAUCUUGAGGCAUGCUCAGGCAGGCGGAAUUCCCGGUGUCGCGGUGAAAUGCGUAGAUAUCGGGAGGAACACCGAAGGCGAAGGCAGCCUGCUGGGGCUGUCCUGACGGUCAGGGACGAAAGCUGGGGGAGCAAACCGG
This 253-nucleotide ribosomal RNA is filed under the name uncultured bacterium. RNAcentral describes it as "partial 16S ribosomal RNA". It matches the Rfam family "Bacterial small subunit ribosomal RNA", at positions 524 to 776 of the family's 1533-position model. The record is from RNAcentral.